Molecule: non-coding RNA, 4523 nt
Organism: Coturnix japonica (Japanese quail)
Lineage: Eukaryota; Metazoa; Chordata; Aves; Galliformes; Phasianidae
Source: RefSeq, a predicted model, not a curated record
UUGCAGAAAAACUACUUAGCUCCACAGAGCACACCCACAGUGGAAGGGCAAUUCUGCUUGUGGAUUUUGUUCUUGUUAGCUACAAGAUGAAUUUCCCUUCUCUGCCAGCCAGUCUGGGAAAACUCAUGCCACCCCAUGGAUGGGUUCAGCACAGCUACCUCAUUGGAGAUGAAGGGCUCACAGUUUUUUCUAUAGGGCUCUUAGAUGAAGGCACGACAAAGGCUGUGAGCAUUCAGCUCGCUUAUGAACCAGAGGGGCCUUGUUUCCACCAGAUUUGUACUGAGGUAGCUUUAUUCCACAGCAAUAGAUUGCUGCUUCUGCUGCAGGGCCAGGAGGUAGCUCCAUGCACUGUUCUCCAAAGCACAAAGAGGACAGGUGGGAGGAUGUGUGACUCAGAAAGCUGUCAAGGGCCUGGUCUGUGUUCCUAGAAUUGUUUUCUCUUUGCAUCCAAAGGCUUAAAGAGUGAUGUUCAAGUAGACCUGUGCUCCAUGCCCUGAGUGCACUCGCUCAUCCCUCAGCUGCACAGCCAGGCCUUUUUUUGCAGCGUCUGAUGUGGGUUUGAACGUCCUCCAGCCAAGAAAGGCUCAAAACCCUUGUGUCUCAUUUCCUGAGCAUGUGUUCAAACCACUAAUUCAAAAUUCAGGCAUUACCCGCAGUGCCUGCUUUAUAUUUAUGCUUUUAAAGGAUAAAAUGGGUGUUGUUUUAUCCUGAAAAUACAAAGCGUUACCGUUGGUCAUCAAGGUAGGACAAUGUGUUUGAGUGCUGAAGGUCUAGAGAAGUGUGCCAGAUCUUUCCCCAACAUCCACUGCCCAGGGAAGCUUCACACUAAACUCAGUGACCCCAGCUGAUAACUCAUGCUGGUAAGAAACAACCACACAACACUUAAUAGGAAGUAAAAUGAGUGAGUGAGUUUUAAUAGAGAUACUGCUUCUGCUGUCAGAUGUUUCUUGAUUAAAAUACUGCCAGAAAAUAUGUUUAAUAAAAUUAUAUGUUUUAAUAGAAUCUGAUUGCAUAGGAGUCUAUUACCUAAGACGUUUUCUUAGAGUUCUAAAAGGUUAACCUAACUGGAAAGUCUCCUAAAGGAAAACAGUUUUGUAAUGCAAAGCUCUCUUGUCUAAGGGUUUACUUUUAGUACAGUGUUUUUGUAGAAGAUUUACCAUUGCUGAGAAAACCUUGUGCAUUGUCACUCUAAAUUUAGAACUGCGUGCUGCAGGAAUACUGAAUGGUCUGUUCUCAUCUUCAGGACAAAAUAAUAUUUUUACUUCAGCAUGAAACAGUGCUCGAUCUUCAUCCCUUUGUGGUUUCAGAUAAGGCAAUCUGGCCCACAGCAGACACAAAAAACCUUUUCUGAACUGACAUGGAACAAUGUUUUCUUAUUCCAGCAUAAAUUUAAAAACCAUAUUCCUUUUCAGUUUCAGUAUUUUAUGGUUCCAAAACAGAAAAAGAUAACAGAUAAAUGUUUAUUUUGUCAUUGCCAAGGAGUUGCUUAGUGUUGUCCUGUACUCUCCAAGCAUGACACCACAUCCAAAUAACAUUUCAAUUUACCUGAGUGGUGCAGCAGCCCAGCCAUGUACCCCUAAACGCAAGGGGAUCCAUCUCAUCAUCACACAGGUCACAACAGGAAUGGGAUCCCACACAGGCACCGUGCUAGGCUUCCCAUUGCUGCCAAUGCCCUGACACACCAAGCUGCAAGUGUUUUAGACCCUUGAUUCCCAUCUAACUCUAUUCUAUGAUCCCUGCACACAAUGGAUGCUGUGCUUCAUGAAUGUUUUUUCUCUUGUUUGUUUGUUUCCCUAAGAAAGAUCUCCUGAGUAUGGAAGGAGAAAAAUGGCUCAUGCCAUCAGCUCUGCCUGCAAAAUCUCUUCUGCCUCUUGGCACUGGAAUUUAUUGGUGGUGUUUUGGCACCAUCGUGCACUUUCUGGCCGAGAAGAUUAGUUGUUUUAGUUGUUUCUAAUUAAUACCGAAUUUUUAAGUAAGUUUUCCACAUAAAUUAGACUCUUACACACUUCAGUACUGCCAGAUGGAUGGAGCCAUCUGUCAGAGAUUAACACUCAUUAAAGGACCACUUCGUAUUAGGAAAAAGAAAAAAAAAUAACAAUUCUGUAGAGUUCCAAUAAAAGUUUUUGCUUUGUACAUGGGUUGAACUAAACAAUUGCAUGCGAAACUGCUCUUGUUUUCAAAGAUCAGCAUUUAUGAUUGCUUGUAUAAUACUUUGCUGAACUUGAAAAAAGAAACGGUUGCAUGAUUAACCCACUUUUACAGCACAGACAUAUUUCUGAGGGCUGCUGGUCUGGGAUGAUGCUGUAGAUGCUACAAGAAAGUUUGGAAAGCAAGAAACUGUGUGGCUCACACAUGUGUGGGGGAGGUGCUCCAGUGCUCUGAUCUUCGUGACCCUCCUCUGGACCUGCUCCAAUAACUCCACAUCUUCCUUGUGACCUGGAUGCGGUACUCCAGGUGGGGCUUACAAGGGCAGAGUAGAGGAGGAAAGCCUUUCCCUUUAACAUCAGAAGACAGCCCUGGAUAAGGGUGUAACAGGAGGCGCAUCGUGAACCUUGCACUAGGGAGUGCUCAGACUGAACGGGUACACAGACACGCAAGGAAGAGGAAAACACUAAGUUUGCAACUCAUGCUGGAGUAACACAACCUCAAACAACACCAGCAAUGUGGAAAUGCCAGUUGUGUGCAUGGACAAAUUGCUUUCAGAGUUGGAUAAAGUCAGAUAAGAAAAAUAAUCUUGAUGGGGAAAAAAAGCUCUACAGAUAGUUAGAAUAGAGGCAGUAGAAUUUGCAUUACUGACAGACUACAGCCAGCUCAUUCCUACACACCGAUUCCAAGCUAUAAAGUUUUGCAACCACCUACUGAAGAAGACACCUGGCUGUACUGUAUGCCCAAGCAAAGAACAUCUCACAUCUCUGAGGAGCGGUAACCUGGAUCCUAACAUUCAGUGCUCCAUCAGAUGAGAUCCUAUCACAGGCCAGGUGAAGGCUCAGCUUCUCACAGAAGUAGAGAGGUCACUCUGCAAGGGACUUCAGACAAUUCUCCAUAAGCAUUCUAUGAGCGGUUUAGGCAGUUUCUGGCAGCAGAUCAGAUACCAGGGGCACAGCUUCUAUAUAUGCAGGAAAGAAUGUUUUUCUUCUGGCAAUAAAUGGAAAGAACACAUCUAUGAAAUGAAAAGAACCUUGCACCAACCACUGACGACAUAUACCAAAGGACCAGGAGUCUGAACGUACCAAAGUCAGACAGCAGCAGGCUCUUGAUGCCCCUUCUGCCCAUCACACUUAACACAAUACACUGCAUAUCUAUACCAAAAUGUAGGCUGGGGAAUAAGUACUGCUCCAUUUCAAUACCAACAACGUGGAGCUGAAGAGUCAGGAAUUAAGUAGACAGUAUUUUAAAAACAAGUCCAUAAGGCUCUACUGUAAACAGCAUAAAAACUGAAAAACAAGGAGUAUUUUGAUCAACGCUUUCAUGCAUCAAAUACUUUUUCUAGCAUGCCAAAAUUGGAAAACAUGCAUUGCUUCCCUGGAUGGAUUCAAUGUGCCAGAACAGAGGUCGAACCCCAGUAAUCCUGUGCAAAGAGAGGCCUUCACAGAAAUGAAUAGGUGGCCUGUGGACAUACACUAUUGCAUAAAGCAGAUAAUCUUUGUCUCAAAAUGCUACGUUUAAACACGGAUUGGAGUGGAAACAAUGUGUGCUGUAAGGCUAAUGGUGGAAACUGCAGUCUUCAGGCAAGAUCUUUUCAGAACUUCGUUGUUAUUUUUAGUUGCUUUUCCUUCUGACAUUUUAAACUGACACACCAGGAAACCUGAGUGGUCAAGUCAGCUCCCUCCAACCCCACCAGAAGUCAGGACACAAAAAACCUGAGUCCUUUGAGAUCAGAUUGAUACAUCCAAUUCUCAAAUAGUUAAAAUUGAAAAAGAUCUAAAUCUUUUUCCAGUUGGAGCAUACUUCACUAAGCUUAAAUGCCUCUGAGUGGGCUUCUGAACUGUCACUGCUGGUAUUAUUAGUAGGCAAAGAAAGUCCCAUUUUAAUUAGAAACUUUAUUUUGAAAUACAUACACAGUUUACAUGUGAAGUGCUUUCACUGUAAGAUACUUCAAAACAUUGCACUGAGCAAAAUGGCUGACCAGUUUCCUUGAAGCUCAUCCAGAUACGUUUUGUUUUUAUUAACAAUAUCUUACAGAACUAAGAUGCAACUUAGGCAUUUGUAUUCAGAAUCUAUGACUAGGUUUACCUUAGGGAGAAAGUUCAUGCUUAACUGUUCCAGUUAACUAUGUGCUUCAGUAACGAUGUUAAGGAUUUGGCAUUAAGACUGAAAAAAACCUGAGUCCUAAUUAAAACUCGUAUUCACCAAAGAUUAAAAACAAAACAAAACCAUCCCUUCUGAAAUUACUUUGUUUAAUAAGGCACAGUCAGACACGUAUUUAUAAAGACUGGCUACCAACUCAGUUUUACCUGCACAGCCUCCUUGCUGCUGUGUCAAAUGCAGUCUGAAAGUUGUUCAACCUGUCUGCUGCUGAGAAU